Molecule: transfer RNA, 42 nt
Organism: Phytophthora nicotianae (black shank of tobacco agent)
Lineage: Eukaryota; Oomycota; Peronosporomycetes; Peronosporales; Peronosporaceae
Rfam family: tRNA
About the family: Transfer RNA (tRNA) molecules are approximately 80 nucleotides in length. Their secondary structure includes four short double-helical elements and three loops (D, anti-codon, and T loops).
Source: Rfam
GCGCGGGUAGCUCAGUGGUAGAGCGUUCGAUUGCAGCUCGAA